Molecule: small nucleolar RNA, 107 nt
Organism: Dioscorea cayenensis subsp. rotundata (Guinea yam)
Lineage: Eukaryota; Viridiplantae; Streptophyta; Magnoliopsida; Dioscoreales; Dioscoreaceae
Source: RefSeq, a predicted model, not a curated record
AGCCCAUAUUGAGGACAUUUUAGCAGGAGCUCCUUGAAUCUAUCCCAUGUCUCAAAUAGAGACUCCAAUUUUGUUUGUACAAAAGAGGAUAUUUCAUUCCUAAGCUU